This is a long non-coding RNA of Homo sapiens (human), 766 nucleotides long. Lineage: Eukaryota; Metazoa; Chordata; Mammalia; Primates; Hominidae. The record is from Ensembl.
GCAGCCGCCUUUGUACGCGUGAUUUAUGACUUCAAUCUUGGUUCACCGAGAGUUCACACGGCUUUCGCUGCUGUUGAAGGACACCUGAGGGCCCAGCCCCCAUGGAUCUCUCAGUGCCUGUCUGGUCCAGAGGGAGCCAGUGGCUCUUGCCAGCACAUCACCAUUUUGUGCUCCACGAGGGGGUGGUCCAUGGAGUCAUCUCAUCUUUCAGCCCAGACCUCACUCACUCUUUCUCCAAGCCACGCCAACAUUCCUUGGUCUCUCCCAAGCCAGGAGGCAGCCUUGUUUUCUCUAGAUCAGAGAGAUGGCUUCUGGAUUCAUCUUUCCCUGCAAUCCAGCUUCUCCUCCUGGGGCCCUCAUACUGGAGACUGGGAUCAUCAUCCAGGCUUUUGCACUGGGCCAGGAAUUUGGGAGUCAUCCUGGAUCCGUCUGCCCCUGUCAACCUUUCGCUGUCAACGGAUAUUUAUUGGGCGUCCUCAACAGCCAGGCCCUGUUCAUGGUACUGAAGAACAGCUUGUAUAAAACAACCCUGCCCUCACAGGGCGAUCACCAGUGACCUGUGGUGUGGAGUCUCCUUUUACCUAUGUCUCCUCCUUCCCACUGUCACCAUCCUUGGUCCUCCUCUGUCACCUGGAAUACUCCACUUGGUAACCAGCAUGAUCUUAUAACGCUAGUUUUACCCUUGUCAGCACUUUGCCAAAAACCUCAAAUAAAGACUUUUUUUAAAAUGUGCAAUGGAAAAAUAAAGUUAUAAAUUAUAUCAUAA